This 270-nucleotide ribosomal RNA is filed under the name uncultured archaeon. RNAcentral's name for it is "partial 16S ribosomal RNA". It matches the Rfam family "Archaeal small subunit ribosomal RNA", at positions 477 to 747 of the family's 1478-position model. The record is from RNAcentral.
CAGCACCUCAAGUGGUCAGGAUGAUUAUUGGGCCUAAAGCAUCCGUAGCCGGCGCUGUAAGUUUUCGGUUAAAUCUGUGCGCUCAACGUACAGGCUGCCGGGAAUACUGCAGAGCUAGGGAGUGGGAGAGGUAGACGGUACUCGGUAGGAAGGGGUAAAAUCCUUUGAUCUAUUGAUGACCACCUGUGGCGAAGGCGGUCUACCAGAACACGUCCGACGGUGAGGGAUGAAAGCUGGGGGAGCAAACCGGAUUAGAUACCCGAGUAGUCC